This is a long non-coding RNA of Oxyura jamaicensis (ruddy duck), 382 nucleotides long. RefSeq lists it as uncharacterized. Lineage: Eukaryota; Metazoa; Chordata; Aves; Anseriformes; Anatidae. The transcript is spliced from 3 exons. The record is from RefSeq and is a predicted model, not a curated record.
UUUAACACUUUACUAUUCAGAAAUGCAGACAACAUAAUGCAUUCUUGCAAAUAGCAAUAUUCAAAUGUAUUUUUAGAGUAAGUUCCAGGCAAUGCUGUAUUUUCUCACUUUCUGGCUUUUAAUAAAGCUCCUUUGCAGAAUAAUUACAACCAUUCAAACUAAGAUAAGAUGUAUUUCCAUGGGAUGGAAAGCUGUUUUAGUUUCAGAUAAAUAAAGAAUUGAAAGAAAUCAAAAGGAGUCUGCCCUUAUUUUCUUGCAUGUUUGUAAGAGCAUAUAUAAGUUACCAAGAUCUGGGAGGAAAGGAAGAUAAUACUUUUCAGAUCAAGUAAGCAGAGAGAACACUGGGGAACUGCUUGCUUGUUGAUCCCUUAAUGAGUUGGGG